RNAcentral lists this long non-coding RNA (3443 nucleotides) under Olea europaea subsp. europaea. Lineage: Eukaryota; Viridiplantae; Streptophyta; Magnoliopsida; Lamiales; Oleaceae. The record is from RNAcentral.
CUAGAUUCUUCCUUCAUUUCUUCUAGAACGUCUUUGACUUCCUGCUAAUGUGUCCCUUGCUGAAUGUGUUGCUGAGUAAUACCAUUCUCCAACUCAGCAUCCUUGUUGUCUACAUUUUAACUGUACAUUCUCCGAAAAAUUACUAUUCAAAACCAUUCUUCCCACAAAAUGGUUGUCAAACAGGGGUUUAUGUUUUGGAUAAUUCUACAUGUACACUGUGAUAUUCAUAAAGGUAUCCAAAUGUAUAUGUGGAAUUCCAUGAUUGGAGUAUUGAAAAAACUAUUUUUCAAUUCUCCAAUGAUGUUAUUACACUUGUACAUUAUAAACACCCUUAUAGACACAAUAAUGUACAUAUAGCAUGUUUUAGAUACUAUUGUUGUAUGAAAUUAUGUACUGUAUGAUGUGAAAAUGCAAUGUGCAUAACAGUGCCGGAGGAUUGGGUUGGUUGGUUGGUUGUGUUUAAUCACGUAAGUGUAGUUUUUUGGGCGUUGUUAUGAGUAAUAAGGGGCUAAUUAGCCCUAGGUGUUGGACCUGAGGAGCUACCAGUCCAACAAAGGCCGUUAACCUCGCAGCUACCUAUCUUUUAACCAGGAUGGGCUAGCUCACAUCCUAAUACCAGCUACGCUAUUUUUAUUAGGUCAUUGCGAUGAUCUACUAGCUAUUGCAGGAAUGACUUGUGAUGUCAACAACCCAUUCAUACAACAAGAAGGGAGAUCUUGAGACCAACUAGGCACAUUUUUCACCCAAAUGGAAUCGCGUGUAGUAUUAGAUGCAAAAAUCUGCCACACCUUCUUGAUAGUACUCACGAGGUGACGAGAAUGUCAGAGAGGCGAAAUGGAGUACAAGAUCAAUAAUUGUUGAGAUGAGGUGACGUAGAUACCGUGAUGUAAUUUAUGGCUGUUGAGGCUUGCAAGUCACAAUAGGAAUUCUCGGUGGAAAUCAAACAAGAAAAGGAUCAAUCCUUAAUGACCAAUCAUCAAGGAUUACAGAGUAUAAGAUGGUGCAACAUUGAUGACACUUACUUUUUGGCUAAGAGAGAAACCCAGUGUCUGUUUAUGAAGACAGGUUUAGAAACCUGACUAGAAAAGAGAUAUAGGUCAUGCGUGAGAUAUUAAAUCUCAAGCUUAGCAUUGUGAUAAGCAACUGAUAUUAGACCUAUGGGCUCUUAGGAGCAACGGACGAAAGCCAAUCCUAGCACAAAGUACCCAGCUCAACAGUUACAUGCAUGAGGGCUAGUCCUUGUUAUUAGUAGUUCUGGCGAACAUGCCAGCAAAGGGUGAUCUAAUUAUGGAGAAAUCUUUGUGGCUGUUUGCCUUUUUCUAACAAUCUUUAAUUACUUGACGUAGUAUGCAAUAGAACAAUUAUGGGGAAAGGAAGAGAAGAGGAGAAAGAAAGGGGUGCAAAGUAAGAGAAGAAUUGAGGGUAAUGAGAAAAUAUCAAUUCAUCAUAUAAACAAGGGUUGUUUUUAUUACUAUGCAAAUGACCCCUUUAUAUUGGGUUUUAAAAUUCAUAUUCUAAGUAGAACAUAUCUAAUAAAAGCUAUUAAAUGAAACUAUAAUUAUGUUUACUAAAAUAAGCAUCAAAAUUGGAAACGAAAUCAAUUAAUAUCGCUUAUAAUAUUCCGUUACUUGUCCCCGACUAAAGAACUCGACUUCAACGAGAUAAAUUGCAACUUCUUAAUCAAGAAGAGCGAUCUUUCUCCUGACCAAAUAACAAAACUAACCAUGUGAAGACAACUGAAUCCAAAAUUUCAUUCUAAGAAUUUGAUCUGGUCGAGGGACAUGAUCUUUCCUUUUGACCACUCACCAAUAAUGAACCUCAAUGAAAGUGUGCAAUUGAUUCCUAAAAACUAUCACAGAAUCCAUACGAGGAGCACAAAAGCACCAGAAAAACACACCCUCCUGCAAAAGCAAAUGAGUGCAACAUCGAUGGCUCAAAGGUGCCCGAUAAGAAAACAGUUCUACUGUAUUGAAAACAUAACCUUCAUACAAGUGUAAUGGCCAACCAAUUAGAUUAAGUUCAAGUGGUUGAUCUAAUAAAAAUUCUUUACACGUUUAGGAAAUCGUGCCAAAGAAACACAUAACAAAGUAUAAGAAUAUUGUGAAAGUAUCUAUGAAAGUCGAGAUAUUUUUCAAGAGUAUCAAGGCAAUCAUGAAAGACUCAAAAUCAGUAAGACCUUCAAAAUUCCAUGGUUGUAAUGUAACCUGCCUAGAAAGAUAAUGAACAUCAGCAACAAAAAUCCGAGAUGGGAGAGUAAUUGUACUGACAAUGGGGAGAAUAAGGCAUACUAUCGUGAUAAUGAACUAGGGGCUCGGUGUAGCUAUAAUUGUAAUAAGAAUUCAUGGCGUUAUAAGACAUGUCGAUUUUAUUUUUAUUUUUAUUAAAAUUGACAAAUCAAACACCAAAAUAAAGUAUGGUUCCAACAUAAAAGAAAUUGCUACCUUGGGAGAUUUAGAAGAGUCGAACGGUGACCCACUCAUCAUAUUCAAACUGAUUCAAUUGAACUCUCCUGAGUGGUUGGGACAAAAUAGAUCACGUUUUAUGCAGUCAAUUUGGCAUCUUUAUAUAUAUAUAUAUAUAUAUAUAUUGAAAGAAAUCCCAGUAAAAAAUUCAGGAAACUCUCAUAUUGAACGCGAACUGAAACAAAAGGUUUUCUUGAAGCUUCAGAAAAGGUUUUGCUUCUUUUUUGAAGUAUUCAUAUCCUUGAAGAACUAGACUGGGCAAAAUUUGUCUUCAAGUCCAUGAUACAAGAACCAUGUUUGAAACCAACUCAGAAAAUGAGGGUUACAAUUUUUAUUGAGUUGAGUAUUCAUGAGUUUGUAAUAAAUCCUGUAAAUAACAGCAAAGGCAUUUGAUCGACUAUCAAACUCAAGAUUUCUAGUUUGAAUAUGAAGAUUUAGAGCAUUUAAAACUGCUCCAUCUGAAAGUUUUAUUGAAAAUUUUGGAUAACAAUUUGAAAAAACUGGACCACUUUCAAGGUUUGAUUCAAGAAGUGAAGUAGAGAGUUUUUGAAAUUGAGAUGUCUCUUGUCUCUAAGAGUGAUAAGAAUAGGAAUGUCUAAACCAAGUCUAAACAAUGGUUUGACAGCAAUUUGAACUAAACCAACAUGAAGAUAUUUAAAUCUCUUUCUAUGAGAUUCAAUUGAUGCAUUUUAUGUAAACAAUUCUGCUGAAAUUGAAUGAGGUGUUCCACACCUUGUUAUCAAUUACAAACUACUCAAUUCUGCUCUUCAAUGGAUUCGUUAUCCAAUUCCUUAGAAGAAAGAUCUUCUGAAUCGACUUUCAAAAGCUAUUAUCUUCUCAAAAUUUGACAUGAAGUCAGGAUUUUGGCAAGUUCAAAUAAAAGAAGAAGAUAGAUACAAAACUGCAUUUAAUGUUCCCUUUGGACAAUACGAAUGGAACGUUAUGCCUUUUGGUCUCAAAAAUGCCCCUUCUGAAUUUCAA